AUGGGAUUAGAUUUCCAAGAAACUGUUGCACCUACAAAUAUGUACAUACUAAGAACUGACAGAAGGCACUAUUUCCAGUUCCAUUUCCUCAGUCUCGCAGAUGCAUACCAGAGAAAUCAAGGAUUUACAAGGUGGUACAUGGUUACCUGGCCUUCUGCCAGCACUGUCUCAUCCUUGGUUGAAAAUCCUGGUUCUUCCCUGGAUGAUUGAAAGGUUCAGCUGGCCUUCUGUACUUUCAUUUCAUGCAAAAAUAGAGCAAUAAGCCGAACUAAGCUUGAUAUACUGUGAAGAUGAGUGAUGGUAUGAAGUGCUCAGGUGUGAGAGAUUGUUGCAGCCCAGAUAUUCAUAGAAACAUCCACUGUGAAGAUGAAUUUAUCUACAAGAAUCAAACUAGAAGAGUACAGUCUGUGGAGACCUGAAACUUUGCAGAAAAUGGUCCUUGUGUUCCAGUAGAUAGGCCGAACAUCUGAAAGUGGUGUGCCUUCUCAGUAAAGGUACCAGCUUACAUAUUAGGCUGUAGUAGCAAGGGCAUAGAGAGCAGGUUGAGGGAAGUGAUUGUUCCCCUCUAUUUGGCACUUGUAAAACUGCAUUUGGAGUACUGUAUUCAGCUCUGGGCUCCCCAGUACAAGAAAUACAUUGAUAUAUUGGAGUGAGUCCAGAGAAAGACCAUCAGGAUGCUAGAGCGUGUUAUACAGGAAAGGCUGAGAGCUGGGUUUGUAUAGCCUGAAGAGAAGAAGGCCAAGUGAAGGUGUUACUGCUGUCCUAAAUUAUCUGACGAUCUGAUGCUAAAGGAAGAUGAAACUCAACUCUUUUGGUAGGUGCACAGUGACAGGACAAGGCAUCAAAUCCAAGUUGUAACAGGGUAAAUCCAAACUAAUAUUAGGAAAAGUACUUUAUAUUGAGCGUGGUUAGACAACAGAACUGGUUAUCCAGAGAGGCUGUGCAAGCUUCGUGUUUGAAGAUACUCAAAACUCAAGCAGGGAGCCUCACCUAACUGUAAACAUUUUAACCUCUGCGAUCUUCAGAGAUCUUCCCAAUCUGUAUUACUCUAUGAGUUAAAUUUCAUAGUUUGCCAGAAAUGGUUUUAAAAAAAAUAUUCAAAUCUGCUAUUUUGCAAGAGGUUAGUCUUAAGGGGGUUAUUUAAAAGAUUUUUAAGACAUUUCAUUGUUGUCUACUUUUAUAGCACUGAGUUUGUGUGAGCAUUUAUUGC
RNAcentral lists this long non-coding RNA (1210 nucleotides) under Anser cygnoides (Swan goose). Its description in RNAcentral is "lncRNA (ENSACDG00005007922.1)". The record is from RNAcentral. Lineage: Eukaryota; Metazoa; Chordata; Aves; Anseriformes; Anatidae.